Molecule: ribosomal RNA, 429 nt
Filed under: Actinomycetes bacterium
Lineage: Bacteria; Bacillati; Actinomycetota; Actinomycetes
Description: Actinobacteria bacterium partial 16S ribosomal RNA
Rfam family: Bacterial small subunit ribosomal RNA
Source: RNAcentral
UAGGGAAUCUUCCGCAAUGGGCGAAAGCCUGACGGAGCAACGCCGCGUGAGUGAUGAAGGUCUUCGGAUCGUAAAACUCUGUUAUUAGGGAAGAACAAAUGUGUAAGUAACUAUGCACGUCUUGACGGUACCUAAUCAGAAAGCCACGGCUAACUACGUGCCAGCAGCCGCGGUAAUACGUAGGUGGCAAGCGUUAUCCGGAAUUAUUGGGCGUAAAGCGCGCGUAGGCGGUUUUUUAAGUCUGAUGUGAAAGCCCACGGCUCAACCGUGGAGGGUAAUUGGAAACUGGAAAACUUGAGUGCAGAAGAGGAAAGUGGAAUUCCAUGUGUAGCGGUGAAAUGCGCAGAGAUAUGGAGGAACACCAGUGGCGAAGGCGACUUUCUGGUCUGUAACUGACGCUGAUAUGCGAAAGCGUGGGGAUCAAACAGG